Cricetulus griseus (Chinese hamster) is the source of this 640-nucleotide non-coding RNA. Lineage: Eukaryota; Metazoa; Chordata; Mammalia; Rodentia; Cricetidae. The record is from RefSeq and is a predicted model, not a curated record.
AUUGCCAUUGAAUUGGGAAUCUCCAAGAAAGCUUUGUUGGUUAACCAGCAAGUACUGGAGUCUACGCUUCUUCACAUACCUAGUGCUGGGACUGUGAAAAGAUUCUAGCAGAAUCCUCUUCAAAGAGAUCAGAGAGACCUCAUCCAGCAACUAAUGGGAGCAUAUACAAAGUCCACAGCCAAACAUUAAGUAGAGCUGAGGAGUCCUUCGAAGGACAGGAAGAGUUGAAGGAACCAGAGGGGUCAGGGAUGCCACAAGAACAUGGCUGACAGAAUCAACUGAUCAAGACUCAUGGAUGUUCCCAGAGAUCAAGAAGCCUAUAGGGGUCUGACCUAGGUCCUCCUCUUCUUGUAUGCUAUGGGCAAACAAAUGGAACUAGAAGAAACCAUCUUGAGUGCGGUAACCCAGUCACAAAAUAACAAAAAUGGCAACAAUAAGGUUUGAACCCUGAGCAUUCCUCAUUUUAUGGAAGUAUUCUACAGACAACCUACAAGUCCUGCCAGCUUUCCACCUAUUAAUGAGACUGCAAUGGUGCCUCCUCAAGAAGAGCUUAUAGGAUUAAUGUCUCUUUAUUUCAGAGGACAGCAAGGUGAAACACAGGCCAGAGCUAGGUUAUAGAACCCAGCCAGCGCGGCCAGAA